AAAAAAGCAGGGCCGCAUUGCCUUUUGUGGAUGUAGCUCUCGUAUACUUCAGGGAAAUAGAUUUCAUCGUUAUUGGGUGAACCUCUGUACUAAAUGGUGACUGAAGGUUCAGUAAAUGAUGGCACACUC
Non-coding RNA from Punica granatum (pomegranate), 129 nucleotides. The record is from Rfam. NCBI's taxonomy places the organism in Eukaryota, Viridiplantae, Streptophyta, Magnoliopsida, Myrtales, Lythraceae.